GNUAGUUUGCAUCAGCUCUAACCAACAGCCCUUUUGUAUAGGAAAAAGGCAAAGCAUAGAUAAGAGAGGAACUUUCCAGGAUUCGAACUCAGGAUCUCUUGUUUGGUGAAACCCAUGUCAUUUUCUUCUUAGUAUUAGCUCAAAGAAUGAGGUAUCAGAGAGAAUUGUGGUAUAUGCAUGUAAAAAUUGGAUCUUUUUCUAUAGCCAUGUUGUUGUUGUUGCUCCUGGAAUUUCUUCUGUUUCUCCUGUUGCUACUGUUGGGCUGUUUUAUGAACCAAGCAGCAACAGAUCAAUGUAAUAACAGGGAGAAUUUAAGGCUGUGAUGAUAACAUCAGGAGGCUGUCUUCCCUUGUCCUAAGCACCGUUUUCUGAUACACUCACGAAAAUGCCUCGAUUGAAACAUACAUGCCCUGGAGAGGUUGCAGCCAUGGCGGGGUAACCUGGAGAGAUGAUGCGCAUCUAUACAUAUGUUUUUUGAUGGAAAAUUUCGAACCCGGGUCUGUACUGCGGCAGGGUACUAUUCUUCCACUAGACCACUUGUCCUUCUUUACAUGAUGCACAUGUAUAUUGUUUGGAUACGAGUCGGUUUUCUCCGUGACACAUUCGGCCAUUUACUUUACAAUGAGAUUUAUAUGUUUGGGAGGUUCAAAAGGAUUAGAGAACUAUAACAUGAAGCAGAAGGCCAAAUGAAAAUGGCAAAAAUCUCAUUAGUUCAAGUCUGAGGCUGCUGGAUUCAGAGAGUUGUGGGGAGUUGUUUGAGUGGUUGCCAGCAGCCAAUAAUCACUCAAUAUUUCCCAAUUUCGGACCACUCUUUAGCAAAAUAAGUUCGACGAGGCAGUGAAGAUUUUCACUCUUUACUCAUCAGAUGGUUGAGCUUUGCUAUAUCUUGGCGUGUCAGCUUUUGGUUGGUCUUAUGAGAUAUGGCAGCUAUUUGGUUUCCGUGUCUCACAAAGGCUUCUCAUUCAGCUUGCAGCCAUGGCAGAGUUUAGCUUAUGCCUGAGAAGAGGCUAAUCUGAGCCUCCCAAGUAUCUGUAUGCUUUCAAAGAUGGAGUCUUUUUUAUGGAAGUCGAGAAAGGUUGACAUUUUCUAAGGGUGGUUAGUCUCUUUCUCUGAAGUUCAGUAUAGCCAAUGAAUUUUCCAGUACUUUUGUUACAAAGAUAAAGAGUAACAGCCCUUUCAUCAACUAAUGCCAAUUAUGUUCUUGAUGAUGAUGACGGCGACGACGAUAGCCAUGGUUAUGGCAAACAAACAACAACAAACCCAGUGUACGCAUAUCUUAUCCCUUACCUGGUGAAGGUAGAUAGGCAUGGUUAUGGCAAUAAGAGAAAAUACAUAUUCUGCCCCCUAUUGUCCAGGAAAACCUGAAUCCUUAACCCUGAACUUUGUGAAUGAAGCUAUGAUGAUAUUCUCCCAGAAGCUUGAAAAUCAGAUUUUUGAGCUGAUUCGUAUCUUGGCUAGGCAAAGGCAGGGAAUUUAUGAGGUAAGUUCUUAUGUGCUUCUCACAAAGGUAUCUGCUUUUUGCAGCCCUGUCGGAUUUGGCCUUCUUUUCUGAUAGCAGUAGUAAAUACACCCUCCGUUCCAAUUUAUGUGAACUGAAAAUGUCCAAAUUGCUAUAGAAAAGUUUCCAUCUUUCCAAAGAGGCAGUGAUGAUAUUGCUAUCCUGAGCUGAAAUUGGAGGCAUGGAGAAAACCGACUCGUAUCUUGGCGGGGCAAACCAGGAUCAUGCAACUGAUUCAUUUUGCAGCCAUGACAUUGUCGUCUUCUCUUUGCCCCAUUUUACACAGAUCUGAGCCUCAA
Nicotiana tabacum (common tobacco) is the source of this 1797-nucleotide non-coding RNA. The record is from RefSeq and is a predicted model, not a curated record. Lineage: Eukaryota; Viridiplantae; Streptophyta; Magnoliopsida; Solanales; Solanaceae.